This 301-nucleotide ribosomal RNA is filed under the name uncultured bacterium. Its description in RNAcentral is "partial 16S ribosomal RNA". It matches the Rfam family "Bacterial small subunit ribosomal RNA", at positions 509 to 807 of the family's 1533-position model. The record is from RNAcentral.
CAGUCGCCACGGUAAUACGUAGGUGGCAAGCGUUGUCCGGAAUUAUUGGGCGUAAAGGGCUCGCAGGCGGUUUUUUAAGUCUGAUGUGAAAGCCCCCGGCUCAACCCCGGAGCUGCUUUGGGAACUGUAGAACUGGAGUGUCGGAGGGGUAAGCGGAAUUCCCAGUGUAGCGGUGAAAUGCGUAGAUAUUGGGAGGAACACCGGCGGCGAAGGCGGCUUACUGGACGACAACUGACGUUGAGGCUCGAAGGCGUGGGUAGCAAACAGGAUUAGAUACCCGAGUAGUCCCUGUCUCUUAUAC